AGAGUUUGAUCCUGGCUCAGGAUGAACGCUAGCGGCAGGCCUAAUACAUGCAAGACGAGCGGUAAUUCAAAUAGCAAUAUUUGGACUAGAGCGUCGUAAGGGUGCGUAACACGUAUGCAAUCUGCCCGGAACAGGAGGAUAGCUCGGGGAAACUCGAAUUAACACUCCAUAAGACAGUGGUGUGGCAUCACACAGCUGUUAAAUCUACGGAGGUUCCGGAUGAGCAUGCGGAUGAUUAGCUAGUUGGCGGUGUAACGGACCACCAAGGCAAUGAUCAAUAGGGGAACUGAGAGGUUGAUCCCCCACACUGGCACUGAGAUACGGGCCAGACUCCUACGGGAGGCAGCAGUAGGGAAUAUUGGACAAUGGGUGCAAGCCUGAUCCAGCCAUGCCGCGUGCAGGAAGAAGGCUUUCUGAGUUGUAAACUGCUUUUGCCAGGGGAUAAAAUACGGGUGCGCCCGGAAUUGAAGGUACCUGGUGAAUAAGCCACGGCUAACUACGUGCCAGCAGCCACGGUAAUACGAAGGAUCCAAGCGUUGUCCGGAUUUAUUGGGUUUAAAGGGUGCGUAGGCGGAUCUUUAAGUCAGUGGUGAAAGCCUGCAGCUUAACUGUAGAACAGCCAUUGAAACUGAAGAUCUUGAAUAUGGUUAAAGUAGGCGGAAUGUAUCAUGUAGCGGUGAAAUGCUUAGAUAUGAUACAGAACACCGAUAGCGAAGGCAGCUUGCUGAACCAUUAUUGACGCUGAGGCACGAAAGCGUGGGGAGCGAACAGGAUUAGAUACCCUGGUAGUCCACGCCCUAAACGUUGAUUACUCGUUGUUGGCGAUAUACUGUCAGCGACCAAGCUAAAGCGUUAAGUAAUCCACCUGGGAAGUACGACCGCAAGGUUGAAACUCAAAGGAAUUGACGGGGGCCCGCACAAGCGGAGGAGCAUGUGGUUUAAUUCGAUGAUACGCGAGGAACCUUACCUGGGCUUGAAAGUUAGUGACCGCUCCUGAAAGGGAGCUUCUCUUCGGAGCACAAAACUAGGUGCUGCAUGGCUGUCGUCAGCUCGUGCCGUGAGGUGUUGGGUUAAGUCCCGCAACGAGCGCAACCCCUUUCUUUAGUUGCCAUCAGGUUAUGCUGGGGACUCUAAAGAUACUGCCUACGUAAGUAGUGAGGAAGGCGGGGACGACGUCAAGUCAUCAUGGCCCUUACGUCCAGGGCUACACACGUGCUACAAUGGGCGUCACAAUUGGUUGCUACCUGGUAACAGGAUGCUAAUCCCAAAAAGACGUUCUCAGUUCGGAUUGAGGUCUGCAACUCGACCUCAUGAAGCUGGAUUCGCUAGUAAUCGGAUAUCAGCAAUGAUCCGGUGAAUACGUUCCCGGGCCUUGUACACACCGCCCGUCAAGCCAUGGAAGAUGGGAGUACCUGAAGUCGAUAACCGCAAGGAGUCGCCUAGGGUAAUACCGUUGACUGGGGCUAAGUCGUAACAAGGUA
This 1481-nucleotide ribosomal RNA is filed under the name metagenome. Its description in RNAcentral is "bacterial SSU rRNA". It matches the Rfam family "Bacterial small subunit ribosomal RNA". The record is from RNAcentral.